This is a long non-coding RNA of Anthonomus grandis grandis, 411 nucleotides long. RefSeq lists it as uncharacterized. The record is from RefSeq and is a predicted model, not a curated record. The transcript has 2 exons. NCBI's taxonomy places the organism in Eukaryota, Metazoa, Arthropoda, Insecta, Coleoptera, Curculionidae.
UUACCGCUAAGGGAAGGUUAAAUUAAUUAAUUUUUCCAGUCAAAUUCAAUUUUUUAGGUCUGAAAAAACCGUUUUUACAGAAACAACCAUAAUUCUGCCAUAAAGAGUCUUAGAGGAAUGGUUGAUACAGUUCUGGAAAGUAGAUUAAUUAAUGUUCAAACUAGUUUUUAAUUUUAUUUGAAUUUCCCGCUUAUACAGACGAUAUAGAGCCUUGAAAAUGACCCAAAUAAUUUUUUUUAGGUGCAAAAACCUCUUUUACAGAAGCAACCAUAAUUUUGCCAUAAAUAACCUUAGAGGGAUGGUUGAUACGGGUCCAAAAACCUCUUCUAGUGAAACGACCAUAAUUCUGCUAUAAAGAAGUUUAGGAGGAUGAUUUAUACAGUUCUGGAAAAUAAAUUUAUUAAUUUUUAA